This 397-nucleotide ribosomal RNA is filed under the name uncultured bacterium. RNAcentral's name for it is "bacterial SSU rRNA". It matches the Rfam family "Bacterial small subunit ribosomal RNA", at positions 29 to 429 of the family's 1533-position model. The record is from RNAcentral.
AUUGAACGCUGGCGGAAUGCUUUACACAUGCAAGUCGAGCGGCAGCGCGGGGGCAACCCUGGCGGCGAGCGGCGAACGGGUGAGUAACAUAUCGGAACGUACCCCGUCGUGGGGGAUAACACAGCGAAAGCUGUGCUAAUACCGCAUACGACCUGAGGGUGAAAGCGGGGGAUCGCAAGACCUCGCGCGAUGGGAGCGGCCGAUAUCGGAUUAGCUUGUUGGUGAGGUAAAGGCUCACCAAGGCGACGAUCCGUAGCUGGUCUGAGAGGACGACCAGCCACACUGGAACUGAGACACGGUCCAGACUCCUACGGGAGGCAGCAGUGGGGAAUUUUGGACAAUGGGGGCAACCCUGAUCCAGCCAUUCCGCGUGAGUGAAGAAGGCCUCGGUUGUAAG